Long non-coding RNA from Haemorhous mexicanus (house finch), 1985 nucleotides. RefSeq lists it as uncharacterized. NCBI's taxonomy places the organism in Eukaryota, Metazoa, Chordata, Aves, Passeriformes, Fringillidae. The transcript is spliced from 2 exons. The record is from RefSeq and is a predicted model, not a curated record.
UUUGUUUUCAACUUCUACAACUCCUUAAAUCCUCUGCACCAAAUGCCAAACUCCCUCAGGAGUGCUGUCCAGCACAUUGAUCAUGGCAAAAUGGGAUCAAAGCCAGGCAAAACCCACCUGCCUUUCACCUGUCCUUCAGGGCAGCACCACUCAUUAACAGUGAUGCCCCCCGUGAAAUCAUCUCCCCCUUCCAACACCAAAUCCAUAGAAAUGCAUAGCACAUGUUUAACAAAAACUGACACUUGUUCCUCCUUCCCCUGAUAAGGUCAGUGCCCCAUUUUUCAUUUAUUCAGGAUGCACAAGGCUGAGGAAUCAGCAGAGACCCCAUCAGCCACGUGGAGAAGGUCGGUAAGUCUGAAAUAACAAAUCCAGCUAUCAAUCCAGAGGCUGUGAAAGGGAGGAUCCAUAAAACCCAUGGGCAGAAAUACAAGUUUCUGGGCGUAUUAAGCUCUGAAUAAAUUAUCCACGUGGCCACUGAACUUUGCAGUGAUCUUUCCACUGACUUCAGGUCAGAUCCCUCCUUAAAAUCUGCUCUGUGAAAUGACUGGUACAGAAACCAGAAACGAGCAGGAGAAAAAACGUGACUUGUUCUUUCACCUUUUGGCAGCUUCCUGCUCUGGGUUCAGCUUUCACCGAUUUAUUCCAGAGGCCUUUGGCCCAUUGGUGCAGAACUGGUCAAUUUGCAUGUGCAAAUUUCUGUUCUUUGUCCUGUCUCUGUUCCAUUGUGAGAGUUCAGUUUUUGCAUUUGGUAAAUAGAAAUACUUUGUAUUUGGAGAAAAAACUGGGCCACACACACAAAUCUUCUGUUUACUUCAAGUAACAGCAAGUAGUAAAAAAAAAAAAACAAAACAAAACAAACAUGUUCCCCAUUAAAUCAGUAAAAUCGGUAUUAAUUCACACAGAAAAUCCACUUCAUCAAAAGUUUUCAAUUUUGUGUCUCUCCGUGUUAUAAAGAUGUUAAUUUCUUUAAAUCCCAAGGACUAUCAUUGUUUUAGCUCAUAUUUAGACACAGAGACUGUACCAUAAAAUUAAGAACAUUCCUCCCUUUCCUUCUGCAUUGUCAUUAGAGGGAAAAAAAUUACAAAGCUGAAUUUCCUUGAAGGGGACUUCCCCAAAACUUUUAAAUUUGUAAACAUUUAAGAGUCGUACAUAAUUUAAAUAUUGAGUAUAAUUUCCUGUGUUCAUGCUGGGUAAAAAUCUGGGUGUUGAUUACUUUUCUGUGAGCUGUUUUUUCUGAAGGAGCACAGUAUCACUGGGGCAAUCAAAGCAGUUUGGGGCAUGGGGCUGUUUAGCAUCCUGCUGAUGAGUUAUGCCAUCAAUACCAAACUGAUUUCCAAGAUAAACCCGACUGAGGCAUAACAAAGCCCGAGUGAUGGCCAACUGUGCUUAUGUGAUCAUCUUACAGUGGUUACACAGCUCAGAGCUGCUUUUAUCACCGGCCUGCUGAUGCAUUUAUUGUGGCCUUUGCAGAGAAAAGGAUUCAAUUAAAAAGGCAUCGUGGUGUUAUCAGCCAAAUUCUUCAGCUCGGCUCCUGGUCGUUAAAGCAGUUACUCAGUUUACACUGAAUGAAUCGAAGAAAAAUGGAAGCAGGAGUGAUUUGUUAGAAAAGCAAAUAGAUGUGGGUACAGUUGCAGGAGGAGGACGUGAGGCCCGGGGUGAGCACAGCAUCUCCCAUGUACAAACAGCUGCUAAUCUUAUCAAUGCACAGAUGCCUCCGUGCUGCAUUUAAAAGCAAGCUGCCUUUAUUCCAGCUCCCACUCCAUUGAAAUCUGCUAUAAAUACCGACUUUAUAACACUGACCCAAUGUAUAAAUUGCUCAGUUCAAAAGAAAAGCUUUUUUGGAGGAAGGGGGGAACGGAGUAAACGCAGUGUGUUGUAAAAGCUAAGUGGUUUUAUUGGCACUUUAAAAUACCCUUUCUGCUGGACUCUGUCAGCUCUGAUUAUAUAUAACGACACUGGUUAUGUAUUAAAAAUGUGUGUCAAUA